AUUCAUCUUCGGGGCAGGGUGUAAAUCCCGACCGGCGGUAAUAGAGUUGUAAAUCGCUAAUGUUUCCUUUAAGGCACAUUAGCUCGAAUGAUUUACUAAAGACUCUUCAGCCCGCGACCUGUGCAAAUAUUUUUUUGCAUGGCUGACUUGGUGCAAUUCCAAGGCCGACAGUUAUAGUCUGGAUGGGAGAAGAUGGAG
This 198-nucleotide non-coding RNA is filed under the name Lysinibacillus xylanilyticus. RNAcentral's name for it is "FMN sequence". It matches the Rfam family "FMN riboswitch aptamer (RFN element)". Rfam says of the family: The RFN element is a highly conserved domain that is found frequently in the 5'-untranslated regions of prokaryotic mRNAs that encode for flavin mononucleotide (FMN) biosynthesis and transport proteins. This element is a metabolite-dependent riboswitch that directly binds FMN in the absence of proteins. In Bacillus subtilis, the riboswitch most likely controls gene expression by causing premature transcription termination within the 5' untranslated region of the ribDEAHT operon and precluding access to the ribosome-binding site of ypaA mRNA. Lineage: Bacteria; Bacillati; Bacillota; Bacilli; Caryophanales; Bacillaceae. The record is from RNAcentral.